GGUGUGACUGCGUACCUUUUGUAUAAUGGGUCAGCGACUUAUAUUCUGUAGCAAGGUUAACCGUAUAGGGGAGCCGCAGGGAAACCGAGUCUUAACUGGGCGUUAAGUUGCAGGGUAUAGACCCGAAACCCGGUGAUCUAGCCAUGGGCAGGUUGAAGGUUGGGUAACACUAACUGGAGGACCGAACCGACUAAUGUUGAAAAAUUAGCGGAUGACUUGUGGCUGGGGGUGAAAGGCCAAUCAAACCGGGAGAUAGCUGGUUCUCCCCGAAAGCUAUUUAGGUAGCGCCUCGUGAACUCAUCUUCGGGGGUAGAGCACUGUUUCGGCUAGGGGGUCAUCCCGACUUACCAACCCGAUGCAAACUACGAAUACCGAAGAAUGUUAUCACGGGAGACACACGGCGGGUGCUAACGUCCGUCGUGAAGAGGGAAACAACCCAGACCGCCAGCUAAGGUCCCAAAGUCAUGGUUAAGUGGGAAACGAUGUGGGAAGGCACAGACAGCCAGGAUGUUGGCUUAGAAGCAGCCAUCAUUUAAAGAAAGCGUAAUAGCUCACUGGUCGAGUCGGCCUGCGCGGAAGAUGUAACGGGGCUAAACCAUGCACCGAAGCUGCGGCAGCGACACUAUGUGUUGUUGGGUAGGGGAGCGUUCUGUAAGCCUGCGAAGGUG
Molecule: ribosomal RNA, 668 nt
Filed under: Klebsiella pneumoniae
Lineage: Bacteria; Pseudomonadati; Pseudomonadota; Gammaproteobacteria; Enterobacterales; Enterobacteriaceae
Also listed under: 2 other names
Description: bacterial LSU rRNA
Rfam family: Bacterial large subunit ribosomal RNA
Source: RNAcentral